RNAcentral lists this long non-coding RNA (475 nucleotides) under Bos taurus (domestic cattle). Its description in RNAcentral is "long non-coding RNA NONBTAT021466". Lineage: Eukaryota; Metazoa; Chordata; Mammalia; Artiodactyla; Bovidae. The record is from RNAcentral.
GGGUUUGCUGUUUCCUAGAGUAAUUGAAAAUUUUAUCUUCCUAUUUUGUUUACCCCUCAGCUAAACCCAGAUACGUAGUACUCAGUCAGAAAUUACUUGAAAUGUUGAUGCUAAAAACUGAAGGGCAGAGUAGAGAGAAGGGAAAUGUUUUCUUGUGGAAUCUUUAGGUGUAGGUUUUUUCUUAAUUGUGAGAGAAGUAAUUUUGCUUUCCCCUCACUCUGACUUUCAUUCCUUUGUUAAGAGCUACACAGUGCCUAAGAGAUGUCAUUGUUAUUUUCUGGUUUGUGGUCGGUAACACUGAAUUUCUUGCACACACACGAGGCAUGUACCUCCCAUGCAGAUGUUGGGACUACAGAAGGAAAGGGUAACCAGAAAACUUAAUUAUUCCCAUGCUUCAAACCAUAAUGUUAAAACCUUUUGGGCAACUAAAUCUAGUUGCUUAUUAGUAUAAGCAGUACUUAUGUGGUGGGCUGGC